RNAcentral lists this long non-coding RNA (620 nucleotides) under Strongylocentrotus purpuratus (purple sea urchin). RNAcentral describes it as "uncharacterized LOC115927181, transcript variant X2". The record is from RNAcentral. Lineage: Eukaryota; Metazoa; Echinodermata; Echinoidea; Camarodonta; Strongylocentrotidae.
ACAGUUUGACAGAAUGAUGGUGUUAUGGAUGAAUGAGAUGAGAAUUACGAAUGGAGGUGCUCCCAGUGAUUCCAGAGCUGUUCUUCCAAGAGAGUGUCAACUAGCACUGAGCCUGGAUGUAAGGAUGUUCCUUCUGGAUCAAGAAGCGAUUUGAUUGUGGAGCCUGGAUGUAAGGAUGUUCCUUCUGGAUCAAGAAGCGAUUUGAUUGUGGAGCCUGGAUGUAAGGAUGUUCCUUCUGGAUCAAGAAGCGAUUUGAUUGUGCUUACUGUUGUACAAAGUUGGCAACCGAGUAUUGGGGAAGCAGUUGUGCACACAACGUGUCCUUCAGCGUAGACUCCUCUAACCAGAUGGAGAGCAGACAAUGAUCAAGCUCAUUUUACAGGCUGCCCUUUCAAAUGCGUCCAAGAUGAAGAAAAGGCCAUUUCGAGCAUUGACCAAUGCUGUGUAUGACCCGAUGUCUAGGAAAGGACCCCUAGGAUGCUCAGCGAAGGCUUUCUACAAAAAAUUAAUCAUGUAACACUAAGGAAUCUGUCACUUGUCAACAAAAUAAAAUGGCAUUGUAUUUUCAUCUGUUCGCCUGUUCAAUGCAGGGACCUAUUUGCCUUCUAUGCAAGGGGGGG